GUCCCCAUUGCAGAGCUGCAGCAAUGUGUUUGUUCCCAUUGCAGAUCUGCAGCAAUGUGUUUGUCCCCAUUGCAGAGCUGCAGCAAUGCGUUUGUUCCCAUUGCAGAGCUGCAGCAAUGCGUUUCUUUAUUGCAGAGCUGCAGUGAUGUUUGUUUCCCUAUUGCAGAGCUGCAGCAAUGUGUUUGUUUCCCUGUUGCAGUGGCACAGCAGCAAUGCAUUUGUUCCCCAUUGCAGAGCUGCAGCAAUGAGUUUGUCCUUGUUGUGGAGCUGCAGCUGUGUUUGUUUCUCUAUUGCAGAGCUGCAGCAAUGCCUUUGUCCCCAUUGCAGUGACACAGCAGCAGUGUGUUUGUCCCCAUUGCACAGCUGCAGCAGUGUUUCCCUAUUGCACUGCUGCAGCAAUGCAUUUGUCCCCAUUGCAGAGCUGCAGCAGUGCCUGUGUCCCAUCACAGCGCUGCAGCAGUGCCUGUGUCCCGUUGCAGAGCUGCAGCAAUGUCUUUAUUCCCCAUUGCAGCCCUGCAGCAGUGCCUGUGUCCCGUUGCAGAGCUGCAGCAAUGUCUUUAUUCCCCAUUGCAGCACUGCAGGAGUGCCUGUGUCCCAUUGCAGAGCUGCAGCAAUGUGUUUAUUCACCGUUGCAGCGCUGCAGCAAUGCCUGUGUCCCGUUGCAGCUCUGCAGCACUGUUUAUUCACCGUCGCAGCACUGCAGCAGUGCCUGUACCCUGUUGCAGCACUCCAGCAGUACCUCUGUCCCGUUGCAGCACUGCAGCAGUACCCGUGUCCCCUUGCAGAGCUGCAACAAUGCAUUUGUCCCAUUGCAGAGCUGCAGCAAUACCUGUGUCCCGUUGCAGAGCUGCAGCAGUACCCAUGUCCCCUUGCAGCGCUGCAGCAAUACCUUUGUCCCGUUGCAGCACUGCAGCGGUACCCGUGUCCCCUUGCAGCGCUGCAGCAAUACCUUUAUCCCUGUUGCAGAGCUGCAGCAGUGCGUUUGUCCCGUUGCAGAGCUGCAGCAAUACCUUUGUCCCAUUGCAGAGCUGCAGCAGUGCCUUGCCAUGUUGCAGAGCUGCAGCAAUACCUUUGUCCCGUUGCAGAGCUGCAGCAGUGCCUUGCCAUGUUGCAGAGCUGCAGCAGUACCCGUGUCCCGUUGCAGAGCUGCAGCAGUGCCUGUGCCGUGUUGCAGAGCCGCAGCAAUACCCAUGUCCCCUUGCAGAGCUGCAGCAGUGCCUUGCCAUGUUGCAGCGCUGCAGCAGUGC
Molecule: long non-coding RNA, 1247 nt
Filed under: Chloebia gouldiae (Gouldian finch)
Lineage: Eukaryota; Metazoa; Chordata; Aves; Passeriformes; Passeridae
Description: Erythrura gouldiae (Gouldian finch) lncRNA (ENSEGOG00005018659.1)
Source: RNAcentral